This 497-nucleotide ribosomal RNA is filed under the name uncultured bacterium. RNAcentral's name for it is "partial 16S ribosomal RNA". It matches the Rfam family "Bacterial small subunit ribosomal RNA", at positions 28 to 507 of the family's 1533-position model. The record is from RNAcentral.
GAUGAACGCUGGCGGCGUGCCUAAUACAUGCAAGUCGAGCGAACGGACGAGAAGCUUGCUUCUCUGAUGUUAGCGGCGGACGGGUGAGUAACACGUGGAUAACCUACCUAUAUUACUGGGAUAACUUCGGGAAACCGGAUCUAAUACCGGCUAAUACUUUGAACCGCAUGGUGCAAAAGUGAAAGACGGUCUGGCUGUCACUUAUAGAUGGAUCCGCGCUGCAUUAGCUAGUUGGUAAGGUAACGGCUUACCAAGGCAACGAUGCAUAGCCGACCUGAGAGGGUGAUCGGCCACACUGGAACUGAGACACGGUCCAGACUCCUACGGGAGGCAGCAGUAGGGAAUCUUCCGCAAUGGGCGCAAGCCUGACGGAGCAACGCCGCGUGAGUGAUGAAGGUCUUCGGAUCGUAAAACUCUGUUAUUAGGGAAGAACAUCUGUGUAAGUAACUGUGCACAUCUUGACGGUACCUAAUCAGAAAGCCACGGCUAACUACGUG